Molecule: non-coding RNA, 483 nt
Organism: Dermacentor andersoni
Lineage: Eukaryota; Metazoa; Arthropoda; Arachnida; Ixodida; Ixodidae
Source: RefSeq, a predicted model, not a curated record
GGGUACUUUUGCAGCGCUCGUUUUCACCUCAAGCGAUAGCCGCAAGGCUCUCGAUCAGCAAUGUUAGAGAUUACGUGGGCCUGGUUAGCGGCUGUAUUUCUCUGCGCCGUGAGUGGCAUCGUCUCGUGGGUGAUCGGACAGCGUCGGAAAUGCUUCAAGGACUUUGAAGGAACGGGAAUACCGGUGGUGCCGCUCCGUAGCCUUAUCAACGGCAACGCAGAUGAAUACUGGAAACCGACCAUAAUCGAGAGCGUCGGAAGAUGGCUGAAAGAAUACGGGGAUGUGUUUGGGUGAGACAUUCAUUUCCUCGUCACUAGGGAAAAAAAACAUUUUUGCCUACCUAAGACAACGAGAUGUGCCCUUUUACUGUCGCGCCCAGUUUCAGACGACCACCACGGGUGAAGAAGAAAUGACGGGGGCAUGAUGAAACCAAUAAAUUCAUUUUUCCAGUCACAGAAUGAUUCUGUCACUUCCGAAGAAGGA